UGGGGAAUUUUGGACAAUGGGGGAAACCCUGAUCCAGCCAUCCCGCGUGUGCGAUGAAGGCCUUCGGGUUGUAAAGCACUUUUGGCAGGAAAGAAACGUCGCGGGUUAAUACCCCGCGAAACUGACGGUACCUGCAGAAUAAGCACCGGCUAACUACGUGCCAGCAGCCGCGGUAAUACGUAGGGUGCAAGCGUUAAUCGGAAUUACUGGGCGUAAAGCGUGCGCAGGCGGUUCGGAAAGAAAGAUGUGAAAUCCCAGAGCUUAACUUUGGAACUGCAUUUUUAACUACCGGGCUAGAGUGUGUCAGAGGGAGGUGGAAUUCCGCGUGUAGCAGUGAAAUGCGUAGAUAUGCGGAGGAACACCGAUGGCGAAGGCAGCCUCCUGGGAUAACACUGACGCUCAUGCGCGAAAGCGUGGGGAGCAAACAGGAUUAGAUACCCUGGUAGUCCACGCCCUAAACGAUGUCAACUAGCUGUUGGGGCCUUCGGGCCUUGGUAGCGCAGCUAACGCGUGAAGUUGACCGCCUGGGGAGUACGGUCGCAAGAUUAAAACUUAAAGGAAUUGACGGGGGUCAUAGCUGUUUCCU
Molecule: ribosomal RNA, 586 nt
Filed under: uncultured bacterium
Lineage: Bacteria
Description: partial 16S ribosomal RNA
Rfam family: Bacterial small subunit ribosomal RNA
Source: RNAcentral